CAUGAAUUCAUUUUAUAUUAGGAAUCUCAGGCAGCAUGUACAGUCUUUUGUAAGAUCGUGUGAACGCUGCUCUUUUUACACACUUACAGAUUGAUUUUAUUCAUGUAUCCAAAAUUGGUAAGAAACAGCAAUACUUACUGGUCAUAGUUGAUCAGUUUAGUAGAUGGCAUGAGGCCUUUGUGAUAUCUAGGGAAGAUUCUAGUGAAGAUUAUUGUUACUGAAAUUAUUCCCCGGUAUUGCUGCCCUCUGCAGAUUGGCUCUGAUAAUGGCCCGGUUUUUGCAAGUGGGGUUGCCCAGGAACUUGCUAAAUUCUUGCAAGUUACCUGGCAGUUUCAUAUACCCUAUCAUCCACAGAAUACAGGGGUAGUUGAAAGGAUGAAUAGGACUAUUAAGGAAAAGCCCAGAAUUUACCCAGGAACAUGGGUAAAUUGGACAAGAUAUCUACCAGCUAUUUUAGCUGAGAUAAGAAUGAAUCCCCACAAGGUGAAUUGUUGAUAAAACUGAAUGGUAUGUAUGACAAUGUUUCUUCGCAGUUUUCCCUUACCUUCACAGGAACCUACUCAUUCAUACCAGCCCGGUGACAAGGUGUAUAUCCGUCAGCUGAACAGGACCAAGAAAGGAGGAUACCCUUUUGGACCACCUGCUACUGUGAUUGCUGUAACCAGAACCGCUGUCCUCACAGAUUCCCACGACAUCUGGAUUCACGCAUCCCGAGUGAAGCUGUGUCCAAAGAGGGGAACCAAGGAAGACAACACCACUCCUCGCUCGGAAACAGAAGAAUUUCUCCUCAGCGAAGCAUCAUGGCUUUUACACCAUAUCGUAGAUUGAGAGGAUCAUACGUACCUGAGACCAAGAUUAUGUUGUGCGCUAUGCUUUCUGGAGUUGUUAUACUCCCUCUGAUAUUGUUCCUUGAAUGCCAUUAUGAGUACAAGUCAAUGGCAAGUUCUGGAAAAAGACUUUGACAUGAUGAACAAUUCUUCAAUACCCCCAGCCCAAUUAGGCCUUAGCCCCUCAUCUAGCAUUCGUCACACACGCCCUCUCAAGAACCCUUCUCCACCACCUUUCUAUCAGCAUGUAAUAUGCAAUCAUUCAUUCACUGAACGCAUUUGGAUGAAUUGGACAAAUAGUAACCCUUAUAAGUACCAGUUACCCAUAUGAAAUGUGUCUACAGCUAAUGAAACCGAUGCAUUAUGUUUGUUUAAAGGUUCACAGAAAAUUGUUAGAUCUUAUAACGCAGAAAUGUGCACAGUUAAGGUUGCAUAUCAAUGUAAACAGACAGGCCUUAUUACUUUUAAUAAUGAUUAUAUAACUGGUAUCAUUAAUUGGAGAAGGGGACAAAUGUUAGUCAUUAUGAACAACACUACAAUUGAG
Pelobates cultripes (western spadefoot toad) is the source of this 1371-nucleotide non-coding RNA. The record is from the annotation of a GenBank genome assembly. Lineage: Eukaryota; Metazoa; Chordata; Amphibia; Anura; Pelobatidae.